GAGAAAGUUGCUGUCCUUAACCAUUUUUUUUUUUUAAAUGGUAGUUUGGGCAAUAUAUAAUAAAAUUAACACAAAUUCUCUGAGUGAGCAGCAUCUUGAAGCAUAUUCUUCACAGUGUGUGCUGCUGUUCAAGAGACUCCAGAGCUGGUCCAGAGCUGGUGUUGCCCAUGCAGGCUGAGAUUGGUACCACAUUCAUCAUCUUGGGACUUUGUUAAAGAUGAGCUGUGCUUCAAGUGUUGAACUGGUAGCCAGCUGUAGGAAGCCAGUCCCUGGGUUAACUGAGGAAACUCUAGACAGCAAACCUGCAGGAGAAAAGCCAUGCUGUGUGUUUGUGCUACAUUUUGUCAAGCAAUGGCUGUGUGUUCACAGGACGUGCAAUAUGCAGUCACAUGGAGGACAGCCUGAAAUCAAAAUGGAACUGAAAUCUGAUUUGUCAUUGUCUGCUCCUUUUGGAGGAGUAAUGGGAACCAUCACCAUCAUUUGGGGUUUACGUGAGCCUUGUGCUGUUCCAUGACUUUAGUGCUCCUGACCUCUCUCCUCAAGAUUCCACACUCUACAGAAGCUUUCCUGCAGAGCUGUCGUCAGGAAUGAACCAAGCCUUUUCCAGAGUGUAGCAGUUUAUAAGUCAAUAAAGUGACUCUGACUUUCCA
RNAcentral lists this long non-coding RNA (650 nucleotides) under Junco hyemalis (dark-eyed junco). Its description in RNAcentral is "lncRNA (ENSJHYG00000013293.1)". The record is from RNAcentral. Lineage: Eukaryota; Metazoa; Chordata; Aves; Passeriformes; Passerellidae.